GGCGGGGCCUGCGUGUGCCACGCCCCCCGUUCCCCGCGGGCCGGCCGCGACCUGAGAGGCUGACGGUUGCCGAGGGCUAGGUGAGCGGUGCGUGCGUCUCCACAGCCGGCUUGCCGCCGUCAGAGUUAUUGAGAGAAUUAAAAGAAACUGUAAAGUGCUUAGCAUGGUGGCACAAAGAACUCAAUAAAGGCUCCUGAAUGCAUGAUGAUACCUCACAGCUUCUAGAGACAUUGUUCUCACCACCUGGAAUACCCCUUCCUCACCUUUUCAUUUGUUUAUGCUCCCAAGCAUUGGUUAAGAUUAGGGUCAAGUAUCUUCUAGAAGCCCUCCCCUUUAACUCAGACUAGCCUUGUAAUCUUGCUCUGAACAACAGAAUGCAGCAGAACACAGUGAAAGUGAUGUACUUGGGCUUCGAAGCCCAAGCCUUAGGAGCUUCCUUAUCCUCCCUCUUGAAGGAAGUCCAAAUAUCUGAGACUGUCAUACAAUGAAGAAGCACAGGCUAGCCAUAUGGAAAGGCCUCAUGGAGAUGCAGUGUGGCACUAGACACGUGAGUGGUGGCCUUCUGCACCCUCUAGACAAGCCCAACUGACAGCUGAAUGCAAAUGAGUUAGUAAUCCCAAACAAAACCAUCUGAAGCAGAGCCACUUAACCAAGCUGCAUUAGCCCACUGAAUCAAGAGAAACGUUAUUGUUAUUUUAAGCUGUUAAGUUCUGAGUGGCUUGUUAUAUAGCAAGAGAUAACUGAAAUAUUCAUCUCCUGUUUAUCUUUCUGUGUAACUGGUAAGCUUCUCAAGAGCUAAAUCUUUGCAUCUCCUGUGCCUGGCAUAAUAUCUUAGAGGAGGGGUUUGAUAAAUAUCUGAUGAAUUGAAUUUUAAAAUAAGAGAGCCCCCCCAAAAUAAAUUUUUAAAUGAGCAUAUAAUAGAUUAAAGCAGAGAAAUACAGUGUCACUUCAAAGAAAGAGACUGUCAUCUAAGCCCAUUAUGACAAGAGCAUAAUCUGACUGAAGGAGUUAAUAUAUCUAAAGAGAAAAUAUGAAUAAAUGCCAAUGCUGAUUAGUCUGGGUGGGAAAAAAUACCACAGAGGAGGAGUCAACCAAUUGACAAAUUAGAGGACCCAAUUUGGCAAUGCAUGUCUAAGGAGUGACCACGGGAGAGCUGUUAGGCACACUGAAUGUUAAGGUUUCCUUUAAAAGCUCUCCUGGUAGGGAGGGGCAUUUCAAACUAUUUUGGUUGAGAAACAUACCUGAAGAAUUCUUUUUGUCUACUGAUUCCCUGUGCCCUCAGAUAUUUGGUCUCCUAUUUGAUGGUUAUUGACAAAAUAGAAGUAAGAGUGUUGGACUAGUCAGGCCGACAAGAGCCUCUAGUCCAGUGAACAGAUGAAUUCUCAGUCCAAAUUAAUAGACUGACAUCCUCAUUAUAAUUUAGUCUCUCUGUAGCAUAUAAGAUGAGAAAGAAUGCUUUUAUCUGCUAGGGCUAGUAUCUCCUUCUCAUAGCCAGUUUUAUUUCUUCUUAAAUACCAAUAAACCAGUUUUUCUUUAUUGUAAAA
Canis lupus familiaris (dog) is the source of this 1544-nucleotide long non-coding RNA. RefSeq lists it as uncharacterized. NCBI's taxonomy places the organism in Eukaryota, Metazoa, Chordata, Mammalia, Carnivora, Canidae. The transcript has 3 exons. The record is from RefSeq and is a predicted model, not a curated record.